AUGAAGCCGCCGCGACCACCCACGUCGACCGCUUCUCCGACGCCACGCAACACGCCUCCGAGCUCCCCAUGGUCCGCGCCUCCCUCCCCCCCGGCCAGAUUCUCCGCUCCCGGCCUCUAUCGCCCGCUCACAACCCUACCCCCGUGGCUAGGGUUUCGGGCAGGCCUUCGCCGGCGCGUCUCUGGCGGCCCCAGGUUCGUCCCUCCUUCCUUCUUGGCCGGGAUCCACCCCCCCNNNNNNNNNNNUGAUGAGGACAUCAAUACAAUUGUUACACCCACAGCCCCUGCUGCUAUACAUACUGGACCAAUUACUAGAGCUCGUGCACGCCAACUAAAUUACCAGGUACUUUCGUUUCUUGGUAAUGAUUCUAAUGUUCAUGAGAAUAUGAUGCUGCCUAAAUUGGAUACAUUUGUUUUGCUUACAAAUGAAGGGCCUAGCUUGGAGAAGGAUGAACAUUGGAGCAAGAACAAGCAUGGAGAUGAUGGCAUGCGCAAGGGCAACAAGAACGGAGUUACAAGUGAUGAUUUCAGGACUUUGAAGCCACCAUAA
RNAcentral lists this ribosomal RNA (549 nucleotides) under Triticum aestivum (bread wheat). Its description in RNAcentral is "partial small subunit ribosomal RNA". The record is from RNAcentral. Lineage: Eukaryota; Viridiplantae; Streptophyta; Magnoliopsida; Poales; Poaceae.